This is a long non-coding RNA of Musca domestica (house fly), 582 nucleotides long. RefSeq lists it as uncharacterized. The record is from RefSeq and is a predicted model, not a curated record. NCBI's taxonomy places the organism in Eukaryota, Metazoa, Arthropoda, Insecta, Diptera, Muscidae. The transcript has 2 exons.
AUCAGUUGUCAGCGCGACUGAAAUAAAAUGUUGUAUUAUAGAAGGCAACCCAAUUGAGUUGUCGAUAAACGUGUUAUCGAUUAGUGUAUUUUCCAUCUUGUGAACCCUAAACUUCAAAAAUGUCAAUUAAUUCGAAAUAACAAAACACAAUUUAAACAAUAAAAGAAUUUUAAAAUGAUAAGUUCAGUGGAAUUAUUUUUUGAUGAAGAAGAAAAUGUUCAGGACGUUGUAUCUAUUCGACGAAGCUUGAGAGAUAAUUCAAAUCCGUUGGAAUUGCCAUCGGUGCUGUUUAAGGCGUAUUUUCGGCUUCCAAAAGAUGCCGUAGUAUACAUAGUGGAGACUCUUAAAUAUGACUUCAAAGUAUGCUAAAGAUCAACAGCAAUUCCUCCACUUUUAAAAUUUGUGCUGCUCUGAGGUUUUUUGCGGAGGGAAGUUUCCAAAAGUCCCAUGGAAAUGAUUACAACAAUUGUAUGGCUCAACCCACAUUCUCGAACGUCCCCAGCGAAGUAGUGCACUUCAUAGAGUACAAAUUGUGUAAACUUUGGAUUGUUUCGAAGUUAACGGAGGAAGAGAAAAGACUAA